This 169-nucleotide ribosomal RNA is filed under the name uncultured bacterium. Its description in RNAcentral is "partial 16S ribosomal RNA". It matches the Rfam family "Bacterial small subunit ribosomal RNA", at positions 338 to 524 of the family's 1533-position model. The record is from RNAcentral.
CCUACGGGAGGCAGCAGUGGGAAUUUUCCGCAAUGGGCGAAAGCCUGACGGAGCAACGCCGCGUGAGGGAGGAAGGUCUUUGGAUUGUAACCUCUUUUCUCAAGGAAGAAGUUCUGACGGUACUUGAGGAAUCAGCCUCGGCUAACUCCGUGCCAGCAGCCGCGGUAAU